Molecule: ribosomal RNA, 450 nt
Filed under: uncultured bacterium
Lineage: Bacteria
Description: partial 16S ribosomal RNA
Rfam family: Bacterial small subunit ribosomal RNA
Source: RNAcentral
GUGGGGAAUUUUGGACAAUGGGCGAAAGCCUGAUCCAGCCAUGCCGCGUGCGGGAUGAAGGCCUUCGGGUUGUAAACUGCUUUUGUACGGAACGAAAAGACUCUGGUUAAUACCUGGGGUCCAUGACGGUACCGUAAGAAUAAGCACCGGCUAACUACGUGCCAGCAGCCGCGGUAAUACGUAGGGUGCGAGCGUUAAUCGGAAUUACUGGGCGUAAAGCGUGCGCAGGCGGUUAUGUAAGACAGAUGUGAAAUCCCCGGGCUCAACCUGGGAACUGCAUUUGUGACUGCAUAGCUAGAGUACGGCAGAGGGGGAUGGAAUUCCGCGUGUAGCAGUGAAAUGCGUAGAUAUGCGGAGGAACACCGAUGGCGAAGGCAAUCCCCUGGGCCUGUACUGACGCUCAUGCACGAAAGCGUGGGGAGCAAACAGGAUUAGAAACCCCAGUAGUCC